GACGAACGCUGGCGGCGUGCCUAAUACAUGCAAGUAGAACGCUGAAGGAAGGAGCUUGCUCUUUCUGGAUGAGUUGCGAACGGGUGAGUAACGCGUAGGUAACCUGCCUGGUAGCGGGGGAUAACUAUUGGAAACGAUAGCUAAUACCGCAUAAAAUUGAUUAUUGCAUGAUAGUCAAUUAAAAGGUGCAACUGCACCACUACCAGAUGGACCUGCGUUGUAUUAGCUAGUUGGUGGGGUAACGGCUCACCAAGGCGACGAUACAUAGCCGACCUGAGAGGGUGAGCGGCCACACUGGGACGGAGACACGGCCCAGACUCCUACGGGAGGCAGCAGUAGGGAAUCUUCGGCAAUGGACGGAAGUCUGACCGAGCAACGCCGCGGGAGUGAAGAAGGUUUUCGGAUCGUAAAGCUCUGUUGUAAGAGAAGAACGAGUGUGAGAGUGGAAAGUUCACACUGUGACGGUAGCUUACCAGAAAGGGACGGCUAACUACGUG
RNAcentral lists this ribosomal RNA (497 nucleotides) under uncultured bacterium. Its description in RNAcentral is "partial 16S ribosomal RNA". It matches the Rfam family "Bacterial small subunit ribosomal RNA", at positions 28 to 507 of the family's 1533-position model. The record is from RNAcentral.